RNAcentral lists this ribosomal RNA (465 nucleotides) under uncultured bacterium. Its description in RNAcentral is "partial 16S ribosomal RNA". It matches the Rfam family "Bacterial small subunit ribosomal RNA", at positions 28 to 507 of the family's 1533-position model. The record is from RNAcentral.
GACGAACGCUGGCGGCGGGCUUAACACAUGCAAGUCGAACGGAAAGGCACUGAUUUUGUGGGGUGAUCGAGUGGCGAACGGGUGAGUAACACGUGAGUAACGUGCCCUAGACUUUGGGAUAACUUCAGGAAACUGGGGCUAAUACCGGAUAGGAGCUCCUGCUGCAGGGUGGGGGUUGGAAAGUUUCGGCUGGGGAUGGAGGCGCGGCUUAUCAGCUUGUUGGUGGGGUAGUGGCUUACCAAGGCUUUGACGGGUAGCCGGCCUGAGAGGGUGACCGGCCACAUUGGGACUACGAUACGGCCCAGACUCCUACGGGAGGCAGCAGUGGGGAAUAUUGCACAAUGGGCGGAAGCCUGAUGCAGCAACGCCGCGUGCGGGAUGACGGCCUUCGGGUUGUAAACCGCUUUCGCCUGUGACGAAGCGUGAGUGACGGUAAUGGGUAAAGAAGCACCGGCUAACUACGUG